AACGAACGCUGGCGGCAUGCCUAACACAUGCAAGUCGAACGAGACCUUCGGGCCUAGUGGCGCACGGGUGCGUAACGCGUGGGAACCUGCCCUUAGGUUCGGAAUAACUCCCCGAAAGGGGUGCUAAUACCGGAUAAUGUCUUCGGACCAAAGAUUUAUCGCCUUUGGAUGGGCCCGCGUUGGAUUAGCUAGUUAGUAGGGUAAAAGCCUACCAAGGCGACGAUCCAUAGCUGGUCUGAGAGGAUGAUCAGCCACACUGGGACUGAGACACGGCCCAGACUCCUACGGGAGGCAGCAGUGGGGAAUAUUGGACAAUGGGCGAAAGCCUGAUCCAGCAAUGCCGCGUGAGUGAUGAAGGCCUUAGGGUUGUAAAGCUCUUUUACCCGGGAUGAUAAUGACAGUACCGGGAGAAUAAGCGCCGGCUAACUCCGUG
This 433-nucleotide ribosomal RNA is filed under the name uncultured bacterium. Its description in RNAcentral is "partial 16S ribosomal RNA". It matches the Rfam family "Bacterial small subunit ribosomal RNA", at positions 29 to 507 of the family's 1533-position model. The record is from RNAcentral.